Molecule: transfer RNA, 65 nt
Filed under: Xenos cf. moutoni RZ-2020
Lineage: Eukaryota; Metazoa; Arthropoda; Insecta; Strepsiptera; Xenidae
Also listed under: 1 other name
Description: tRNA-Met
Source: RNAcentral
UAAAAGAUAAGCUAAAGAAGCUUUUGUGUUCAUACCUCAAAUAUAAGAUAAUACCUUUCUUUUUA